AAUCCGAGAAUUUCACCUCUGACGCCGGAAUACAAAUGCCCCCAACCGUCCCUCUUAAUCAUUACCCGGUCCUCACAAACCAAUAAAACAGAACACAGGUCCUAUUCUAUUAUUCCAUGCUAAGGUAUUCAUGGCAAACGCCCGCUUUGAACACUCUAAUUUUUUCACAGUAAACGGUGGCAGCGACAACGAGCCCGCACUCAAGCGGAUCCGUGCCCCCCUCCACAAAGGCGGCCGACCCAGGUCCGUCCGCGAAGACGCCCCGUCUCGCCCGCCAACCUCCGACUACGAGCGUUUUAACUGCAACAACUUGGGUAUACGCUUACAGAGCUGGAAUUACCGCG
RNAcentral lists this unclassified non-coding RNA (344 nucleotides) under uncultured fungus. RNAcentral describes it as "sequence contains ITS1". Lineage: Eukaryota; Fungi. The record is from RNAcentral.